UUUAUUUAUUAUUUUUAAAUUCUAAUUGGACUGGUGAAUGGCUGAUUUCUCCUACAACGGGUAAAAACGAAUCGACUAUUGAAUAUUUAUCAACAUAUUUAUGGAAGGAGAAUCAGAUAGAUGCUGUACAAUCCGCAACGAGAUAUGGCGAUCAUAUUGGAAUUUGUGCUCUUGAAAAGGGGCAAUUUUUUCAGGUCAGUCCUAUUAAUUAUCCAGAUAUUAAAGAAUCAUAUCAACCAAUAGAUAAUUGCAAAGCAAAGAAAAAACCCGAAUUUCAUUUUGUAAACCCAUUUGUAUGGUGGUCAAAUCCUCACAUUUAUGUAUAUUAAUUUUUUUUUAGAGUUAUUGAAAAAAAUAAAAUGGGGUUUUAUGUGGAAUAUAGAAACAGAUACUAACAAAGAUAUAACAUAAUCGAAACACUGUUUUAUGUAAAACAUAUGAAGUGCUAUGGUG
Long non-coding RNA from Centruroides sculpturatus (bark scorpion), 453 nucleotides. RefSeq lists it as uncharacterized. The record is from RefSeq and is a predicted model, not a curated record. The transcript is spliced from 3 exons. Lineage: Eukaryota; Metazoa; Arthropoda; Arachnida; Scorpiones; Buthidae.